AUCGAAACCAUAAAUUUUUUACACAAUAGAAUUAUAUAUAAUUAAUAGAAUAUAUUUUUAUAUUUUAGUCUAUGAUCUAAACGAGUCGCACAUACACCCUAGUACAUGUUCCUCGGCGCUGAGGGCAUCCCCGAAGAGCGGGAGAUUUGGUGACAUUUCGGAUUGGCUGUCUUGCGUUUCUAAUAAGUUGUUUUAUAGUUGGCAUGGUGAGUCAUAUACAUAAUUAGCCGGUUUAGAUCAAUCCUAACCCGAUGAUUAUGAAUUAUUUAGAUUCGAUUAAAUCGGGUUAGUAAGACGAUUAAAUCAGGUUAGUAAGACGAUUAAAUCCGGUUAGGAUCUGGAAGACGAUUAAAUCAGGUUAGGAAGCAAGCAGGUUAGGAAGACGAUUAAAUUCAGGUUAGGAAGACGAUUAAAAAGAGAAAAUUUAAUCUCAAAUCUUGUAGUUAUCAGGAAUCCUUUCUGCUCUUUUUUUAUUCACAAAGAAUCCGCUACCAUAUCAACAAGUCCGUAGGCUUGAGCUUCUUCUGCUGACAUAAAAAGAUCCCUUUCCAUGUCUUUGGAUAUCUGCCAUGAAGGUUUGCCUGUUCUUUGUGCAUAAAUAUUUGUGAGUUGUCUUGCAUUUCUAACAAGUUGUUUUAUAGUUGGCAUGGUGAUUCAUAUACAUAAUUAGCUGGUUUAGAUCAAUCCUAACCCGAUGAUUAUGAAUUAUUUAGAUUCGAUUAAAUCAGGUUAGUAAGACGAUUAAAAUGAAAAAAUUAAAUCUCAAAUCUUGUAGUUAUGAGGAAUCCUCACUACGCGAAAAAACGGCUUUUACAGCGCUUUUUUUAAGCCAUUUACACCGCUUUUUCAAAAAAAUAAGCGCUGUGGAAAUGAGCGCUGUAAAUGAUACAACAGCGCUUUUAAAAAAGCGCUAUAAAACAUGUAAAUACAACGCGCGCUUGUUAUGCACAUUUUACAGUGCUUUUUUGAGAAAGCGCUGUAAUAUGCCAACCCAUAUAUGAGUUAUGGGGUGGCCUUUUAAAACGGUUUUUUUAAAAAGGGCUUCCCGACGGGAGUAAGAGUAAUAAUAAUGUUUAUAAUGCUACAGCAACUGGAAUAGUAAACAAAAUCAUACGAAAAGAAAAAGGUGGAUACGAAAUAACGAUAGUGGAUGCAGCGGAUGGACGUGAAGUGAUUGAUAUUAUCCCUCCAGGACCAGAACUUCUUGUUUCAGAGGGUGAAUCCAUCAAACUUGAUCAACCAUUAACUAGUAAUCCUAAUGUGGGUGGGUUUGGUCAGGGGGAUGCAGAAAUAGUCCUUCAAGAUCCGUUACGUGUCCAAGGUCUCCUGUUCUUCUUCGCAUCGAUUAUUUUGGCACAAAUCUUUUUGGUUCUUAAAAAGAAACAAUUUGAGAAGGUUCAAUUGUCCGAAAUGAAUUUCUAGUUACUAAGAUUUAUCAACAUAUUAAGCUCGUAAAAAGAACUCCAUUUUUGUUGAUAAAUUAUGUAAAGACCUUUGGUUCUCUACACUCUUUUUCUACCAUAUUUAGAGAAUUCCUUGUACCGUAGAACUAGUCAGUCAUAGUAUAUAUAUUGGGAAGAAGACUGUUUGACUUUGGUUCUUUGCUUUUUUUUUUCAACUCUAUAAUCAAUUCGAACCAUAUGAUUAUGUCGCUGUUUUCACAUUUCAAUGUACUACACAAUGUACUACAAUAGAAAUAUAUUAAUCCCUUUCUAUUGUAAUAAAAUUUGAAUGAAAUUCGACUCGAUACUAAAUCUUAAAAAAUAGGCAAAUAAUAUUAAGUAAAGUCGGAAUAGAAAUGGAGAAAAGGGGAAAAGGGGAUUCUAGGAUGGAGAAUUUGUCUUUUCCUAGAGUCCGAUUCCUUCUUGUUUAUAUCGAAAUAGAUACGUAGUGAAGUAAUGGACAAACAAAAAAGAGCGUGAAUUUGAUUCACUAAAUAGAACUUCUUUAAUUUACUUAAAAAAUAAGAAUGAAAUCAUGAUUCGAUAUUUUUAGAGACUUAAAUAGAUUUCGAGUACUAUUUCAUUAGUAUAGUAUCAAAAAAGUUAGGUUCUACAGAAUAUUUGAGUGGUAGAAAAUAUAUAUUAUAUAAGAAAUAUAAUACAUUAUAUAAUAAUUCUUACAAAAUAUAAUUCUUUCAUAUAGAAUACUAUAUUAUUGCGCCACCCCCAAGAAGUAUUCCUUCUUUCCUUUACUUUUCUUUCAACUUGAAAGAAAAAGUAUCGACAGAUAUUAUCCAGAAAAAAUGUUUUGAAUCAAUUAAUGAAGUUCAUUUUUCAAAAACAUCCUAAAAAAAAUGAAAUGGAGUUUUUUGAAACAUACCAAAAAGUUAUCUAUUGAGUCAUUUACAAAAAGAUUUUGAUUAUGAAGAACUCAACGGGACCCCCUCGAAUUCGUCAAAGAAAGAGUGGAUCCCUGUUGAGUUCUUAUGCUUUCAUUUCGAAAACUAAAUUCAUCCGAUUACUACAGGGAUGAUCCCAAUCCAGAAUAUGAACCAUAAAAGAAAAUACCAAUUAAACCGAUCACGGCAAUACCAGCUACAGUACCUAUUAUCCAAAGAGGAAUCCUUCCAGUAGUAUCGGCCAUUUAUCCCACUUUCCUCCACAUUUGAUCAAGUAGUCAGUCAUGCUAAAGACCUAAACAGUCAUAGAUAAUUAUGAAAUGAUAUCCUUCCGAAUGGGAUAAGAGAACUCCUAAUAUAUAUAUAUACUAUUCCCUUUUGUUCUAUUAAUUGAAGAAAUAAUUUGAAAAUAAAACAGCAAGUACAAAAAUGAGUAAUAACCCCCAGUAGAGACUGGUACGAUUCAAUUCAACAUUUUGUUCAUUUGGGUUUGAUUGUGUCGUAGCUCUAUAAUUCGGAUUAGGUUUAUCGUUGGAUGAACUGCAUUGCUGAUAUCGAUCCCAAAAAAGAAACGGUGGGUACCGCUAGUCCGUGAACAGCCAACCAUCGUACUGUAAAAAUGGGAUAGGUCCUAUCUAUGGUCAUUGGAGCCUCCUAAAAAGAUCUACUAAAUUCAUCGAGUUGUUCCAAAGAAUCAAAACGGCCAGUUAUUAAUGGAAUUCCUUGUCGGCUUUCUGUAAAAUACUCGUUUGGCCGGGGGCUUCCAAAUACAUCGUAAGCUAAACCCGUGCUGACAAAUAACCAACCCGCAAUGAAUAGGGAGGGUAUAGUAAUGCUAUGAAUAAUCCAGUAUCGAAUACUGGUAAUAAUAUCAGCAAAAGAACGUUCUCCUGUGCUUCCAGACAUGCCGAGCUCCACAUAUUCUUUAUUCUUAUACAGUCAAAGGGGGAUCGAUUCCAAAAAAGAUCAGAUCAGUAAGUAUAAAUUUACUGAAAUCCAAUCUUUGUUAGAUCGUCAAUUUUGUACCAAGGGUCUCUUUCGAGUAUACCGAAUCAGUAUAGCUAUCCUUCUUCUAACACAGCAACGAAAUUUCACAAUCAGUGGCGAGAUCAAGUACUAGAAAAUCAAAUUUAUUUGUUUUUUCUUUGUUGGUUGUUUCGAUAUACUGAAUAGAAAAUUCCUCAAAGUUUAAGACUAUAAGAUGAUGGUUCUCUACAUUCAUUAUUAGCUUCGCACUAGAAACUAAAGAUCCAUAAAAAUGUUAAUGGGAUGAAGUGGUUUCUAAUAAUUAAUAAAACAAAUUAGAAUAUUUCUAGAAUUCAAUUAGAUAAGAAAUCGAGAAAUAAACUUUUUGUGGUUGUCAAGGCUAAGACUCUAUCUUCCUUGUUUUAAUUACAAGGAUAGAGUUAAAAUAAAAAUAUUUAAAUAAAAUAUGAUAUGAUGAAAAUAUAAAAAAACCGCGGACCCCUAGUUUCGAGUGAUCUAAUACCCUUUUAUUUUCGUUCAAGGUAUUAGAAGAAUGAGAUAUAUUACAAAAUAGAAUAAGUUCAAAAUCAAAGUCAAGAAGUCAGGGUCACUCUCCUCUUUUGUUCUAAACUAAUCGAAUGAAAAAAUUAUCAUUCGAUUAGUUUACUCAGCUCAUGAGUUGAUCAAAAAAUCUGUUGAUUUGGAAUCACAGGAUGGGUAGAUGUCACAGAUGAUUAAUUGAUUUCUUACCUAUGUAAUUAUAUUUUUAUUUUUGUUCGUACGUAAUAUAUGGAUUCAUGAAUCCAUUAUUUUCAAUUGUACCUUUUAAGUGGUAUUUUUUGCUUCGUUUCCUAUUUUUAUCUCAAAAAAAGAAACUUAGGAAAGUGCUUUAUAAACAUAUGUAUAAUAAAGACCAUAUUUCAUCUAGUUUCCUUAUGCCCACUAUAACCAGUUAUUUCGGUUUUCUACUAGCAGUUUUAACUAUAACCGCAGGUCUUUUUAUCAGUCUGAAUAAGAUACGACUUAUUUGAUUUCAAAUUUACAGAUGAAUUGGCAAUUUUGGAAUAGUUUCGAUAUUCUAUAGUGACUUAUCAUGUCAAUUGCCAAUUCUUGGUCAUUGAGAUUCAUGGUCAAUACAGAUUCAUAUUUAAGGAUAGAUAUUACCCCCACUUUUUUUCCUUUCAAACAAACUCAAAUGAUUGAAGUUUUUCUAUUUGGAAUUGUGUUAGGUCUAAUUCCUAUUACUUUGGCUGGAUUAUUUGUAACGGCAUAUUUACAAUACCGACGCGGUGAUCAGUUGGAUCUUUGAUUAAGUAACAUUUAUUUUUUUUAUUGACUUCCUAUUCCUUUUUUAUUUGUUUGUUUGAAUCCAAAUUCAAAGGAGAUCAAAUUCAUACUUUAUAUUAGACUGUUAUGCCAUUAUUUCAGUGUCAUUCUCAAUCUAACAAAUCACGCUCUGUAGGAUUUGAACCUACGACAUCGGGUUUUGGAGACCCGCGUUCUACCGAACUGAACUAAGAGCGCUUUAUUUUCCUAAAUAAUUUUAUGUGAUUCCAAUACAUCUUGCAUGCAUACAUACUCAAUAUGGAAAACUAUUCAUAUUGAGUAUGUACGUCCAAUUGGAAUCGGUCUCAAUGGAUCUAUUGUUACUGCUAUUACGAUAACUAAUAGAAUAGUUAGCGAUAGGGAUGACAGGAUUUGAACCUGUGACAUUUUGUACCCAAAACAAACGCGCUACCAAGCUGCGCUACAUCCCUCUUUCAAUUGGUUUACAGUGUCAUUGUAAAGAAUUUUUGUCUUCUUUUCCACAUUUUUCCAUUAUAUAUAUCAUAGAUCCUUGCAUUUUUUUGUUUUUUUUUUUAUUUCUUAUAUCGUAUAAAUAAAAUAUCGAAUAUGAAAAAAGAAAAAUAUUCAAUUUCUAUAGACCGAUACUAUUCUAUUUAAUUAAAUAAAAAGAUAGAAUAUAUAAAUAAUAAUAAUAUAAAGAGUAUAAGAAUAAAGAAUAUAAAUAAAAAUAUAUAUUAAUUAAUAUGAAAUAGAAUUCAAAUAUCAAAAAUGAAAAAUCAAAUUUUGAAUUUCAAAAAAUUCAAAAUAUAGUAAUAUAGUUAUUAUAAUAAAAUUAUAAUAUAAUUUAAAUAAAGAAAAUAGAAAAAGCAUAUUCUAUAAAAAUAAAAAAAAAUAUCUAAUUAAUCGUUGUAUAAUUCAAAUUGAAUUCGAAUUUCCCCCGACAAAAGCAAGUGGUUAUUAAUAUUAAUUAAUAUUUAAAAUUUAUUCAUAUUCCUAUAUGUAAUUAGGUAUUAAAAAUUACAACAAAAAAACGAAGGAGGAUUUGAAAUGCGAGAUCUAAAAACAUAUCUCUCUGUGGCACCAGUGGCAAGUACUCUAUGGUUCGUGGCUCUAGCGGGUCUCUUGAUAGAAAUCAAUCGUUUAUUCCCGGAUGCAUUGACAUUCCCCUUUUUUUCAUUCUAAUUAUGGGCACGGGAGGGGGUAACGAAGGUUAGAGAUCGAAAAAAAAGAGGAAAGAAUAAAGGUCGAUUUGGCCUCGGUGAAACUCGAAAUUUUGCCCAGUUUUCAAUGGAAUUGAAUUAAUACUUCAAUUCCAUUGCUAUUAAUAAUAGAGUGAGCCCAGAAAUGGAAUUGUAAUGCUAGGGCAGGGGCAAUAAUAUCAUACAAGAUACAUGAAGUACUGUAUUGUGAUUCGAAAUAUAGUUCGAAAUCAUUGUAUUACUCACUUAUUACUGUACUAUAUAAAAUUAAUCGGAACAAAAUCUUUCAUAAUUUGAUUUUGAAUUAUCAACUUAUACUUUUUUCUGUUCCUUUUUGAUUCUUCGCUUUCAAUCGUAAAAUCGAAGAGUUAAGUGAAUCAAAAAAAACCAAAGGAGGUUCAUGGCCAAGGGUAAAGAUAUCCGAAUAACUGUUAUUUUGGAAUGUACCAGUUGUGAUAAAAAGAGUGUUAAUAAGGAAUCGAGGGGUAUUUCUAGAUAUAUUACUCAAAAGAAUCGACACAAUACGCCUAGUCGAUUGGAAUUGAGAAAAUUCUGUCCCUUUUGUUGCAAACAUACGAUUCAUGCAGAGAUAAAGAAAUAAACAAAAUGGAUGGAUUGUGGGUUACGCUUAGACGGUAGAUGAUAAAUAAUAUUUCAGAUAGAAGAUAUAUUCUAUAAUUUAAAUAUAUAUAAAUUCUAUAGAUAACAUAUAAAUAAUAUUAUAUAUAUAAUAUUAUAUAACAUGAAAUUAUAUACAUAUACCAUUAUAUAGCAUAUAUUUCAUUAUAUAACAAAUAUAUAUUACAAAAAAAAAAUAAGAAUAUAAAUAAAACAAAUCCUUUUUUAUAAGAAAUGGGGUUUUCGGUAUAGGAAUAAACAAACCAUGGAUAAAUCUAAGCGACUCUUUCUUAAAUCCAAACAAUCUUUUCGUAGGAGUUUGUCUCCGAUCCAAUCGGGGGAUCGAAUUGAUUAUAAAAACAUGAGUUUACUUUAUCGAUUUAUUAGUCAACAAGGAAAAAUAUUAUCUAGACGCGUAAAUAGAUUGAGCUUAAAACAACAACGAUUAAUUACGAUUGCUAUAAAACAAGCUCGUAUUUUAUCUUUGUUACCUUUCGCUAAUUCAUUACCUUUUGUUAAUAAUGGAAAAAAAAAAUAUGAAAAAAGGGAGUCGAUCACUAGAACUACCGCAGUUCGUAAAAAAAAAAAAUAGAGUUACUUUAUUAUUCUAUUGAAUUCUAUUUUGAAUCUAAAUUCAAAUGAAAUGCGGAUUAAUAUUUUUUUUUUUCGAAAAAAUAUGACAAUCCAAUUGGAGUUGUUACGUUGUAAAAAAAAAGCUAAUAGAUGAAGAAGAAUUAUUUUUUUUAUUCAGCGUGGUGGUUUAUUUAUUUUGAUAACUUUGUCAUAUGAAUUCUAUUUUAUCAUACAAAUCUCUUCUAUUCUACGACCUUCCCGGAGUUCAGUCUCCGGGGAAUUUUUAUUUUUUUAUGAUAUCAUUGGCAAUCAUAAAAAAACAAUUCCCUUUUAAUAUAGCUAUUUGUGCAACUAUUUUACGAUUAAGAAGCAAUUGCUUCUUGUACAGAUUAUACAUUAAAUUACUAUAAAUAUAGUAUACGUUUUUAUUUUUCUGGCCAAUUAUUGCAUUUAUUCGACUGAUCCACAAAGCGCGAAAAUCUCUUUUUUUCCUAUCUCUAUCUCGAUCAGACGAAACCAAAGCUUUUAUUUUCUGUUGCGCAAUAGUUCGAGUUAGUUUUGAAUGAGCUCCGCGAAAGCUUGAUGUAAAUAAACGAAUUUUGGUCCUCCGUUUUUGAGCGAUAGAUCCUCGUUUAAUUCUGGUCAUUGAAUAAAUGAGACUUUGAUGAAUAACUAUUUCAUUUUUUUCUUUCAGUUAUUCUUUUAUCCUUCCUAGUCUAUUAAUAACAAAAUGGAUUCUUCCAAUGUAUAAAAGAAAAAUUCCAAUGGCUUUUGCUACUAUAACCUUCCCAACCACGAUUUUUUUAUUUUUUUCUAAGUAUUUAACCUAUAAAUAAUAAAUGAUAUUGAUACUAGGUAUUCAAAAAAACAUAGUCAAUUAAAUAGAAAUAGACAAAAAAAUGGUGGGUUCCAUCGUUUCUAUGAUUACUUUUUAAACGGUGAGGUCCUCUCUAUACACCGGAGCCAUUUCCUUCAUUGAAUCUUCAUUUCAUCAAUGUUAUUGUGAAUUUGUACAGUUCACACUUAUGGGCUCUACCCAUAAAAUAUCUAGUAAUAGGUCUUUCACAACGAAAUCUAGCUAUACAGUAACGGUAUUUAAGUAUGAAGAUUAGCUGGGUAGUUGACCCUCUUAGUCCGUUCAAAAUUUCGGUAGGGCAAAAUUUUUCUUUAUUUGAAAUAGGAUUUUUCCCGCUUAAUGGAUAACUAUUUGUUACCAAUGGGAAAUUUUUUUCAUCUUAAAUUGCAAAUUAAGGUGAUUCGGUUUGCACUAAUCGAAACCAUAAAUUUUUUACACAAUAGAAUUAUAUAUAAUUAAUAGAAUAUAUUUUUAUAUUUUAGUCUAUGAUCUAAACGAGUCGCACAUACACCCUAGUACAUGUUCCUCGGCGCUGAGGGCAUCCCCGAAGAGCGGGAGAUUUGGUGACAUUUCGGAUUGGCUGUCUUGCGUUUCUAAUAAGUUGUUUUAUAGUUGGCAUGGUGAGUCAUAUACAUAAUUAGCCGGUUUAGAUCAAUCCUAACCCGAUGAUUAUGAAUUAUUUAGAUUCGAUUAAAUCGGGUUAGUAAGACGAUUAAAUCAGGUUAGUAAGACGAUUAAAUCCGGUUAGGAUCUGGAAGACGAUUAAAUCAG
This 8611-nucleotide long non-coding RNA is filed under the name Cicer arietinum (chickpea). RNAcentral describes it as "long non-coding RNA (CARI_LNC003661)". The record is from RNAcentral. Lineage: Eukaryota; Viridiplantae; Streptophyta; Magnoliopsida; Fabales; Fabaceae.